ACUUACCACCCUGCCAGAAUCAAUAUACACCAUCUCAUUGGAUCUCAGAAACUAAGCAGAUUUAGACCUGGCUAGCAUUUGGCUGGGGGAUCACUUGAGAAUCCUGGGUGAUGUAAGCA
Molecule: ribosomal RNA, 119 nt
Filed under: Crocodylus porosus (Australian saltwater crocodile)
Lineage: Eukaryota; Metazoa; Chordata; Crocodylia; Crocodylidae
Source: RNAcentral